UACAGGGGGUGCAAACGUUGCUCGGAAUUAUUGGGCGUAAAGCGCGCGUAGGCGGCCACUUAAGUCGGAUGUGAAAGCCCCUGGCUCAACUGGGGAAGUGCACCCGAAACUGAAUGGCUUGAAUUCGGGAGAGGGAUGCAGAAUUCCAGGUGUAGCGGUGAGAUGCGUAGAUAUCUGGAGGAAUACCGGUGGCGAAGGCGGCAUCCUGGACCGACAUUGACGCUGAACGGCGAAAGCUAGGGGAGCAAACGGG
RNAcentral lists this ribosomal RNA (253 nucleotides) under uncultured bacterium. RNAcentral's name for it is "partial 16S ribosomal RNA". It matches the Rfam family "Bacterial small subunit ribosomal RNA", at positions 524 to 776 of the family's 1533-position model. The record is from RNAcentral.